GCAGUCGCCGCGGUAAUACGAAGGGUGCAAGUGUUAAUCGGAAUUACUGGGCGUAAAGCGUGCGUAGGCGGUUUGUUAAGUCUGUUGUGAAAUCCCCGGGCUCAACCUGGGAAUGGCAAUGGAUACUGGCAAGCUAGAGUGUGUCAGAGGAUGGUGGAAUUCCCGGUGUAGCGGUGAAAUGCGUAGAGAUCGGGAGGAACAUCAGUGGCGAAGGCGGCCAUCUGGGACAACACUGACGCUGAGGCACGAAAGCGUGGGGAGCAAACAGGAUUAGAUACCCCUGUAGUCCCUGUCUCUUAUAC
RNAcentral lists this ribosomal RNA (302 nucleotides) under uncultured bacterium. RNAcentral describes it as "partial 16S ribosomal RNA". It matches the Rfam family "Bacterial small subunit ribosomal RNA", at positions 508 to 807 of the family's 1533-position model. The record is from RNAcentral.